UGUGGUAUGCACGUGUAUAGUUGAAGGUGGUUUUAGCGAGCGGAGCUCUUCUAGUGGGAAAGGUGGGGCUUUUGGGGGACGAGGCGACAUGGCACCACUGAAGCUGGCCUAGAGAGUUAUCGUUGGGAGAUCGAAACCAUGGCUGUGUGCAAGGGCUCGCAGGACUGUAAUGCAUUUAAUACUACUCAGCUUCCAUGUAAUUUUGAGCAUCAUAUUAUCAAUGGCCACAAUAUCCGAAGUCUCAUGGGCAAGAAAUACUUUGCAAUAUUUACCAAAGCAUCAUCUUCAAAUUUUUGGCUGGAUAUAUUGAUUGACCGUCACCAUUAUGAGAAGUUUUUGUGAUCAGUAACAGCCUCUAAGAACUAAAUUUAGGAUCUGUUUGGGGCAAUUGUAGAUGUUUGAAGAAGCAAUUAUGAAGCUUUUGCAGAAGAAACUGUUUAAAAAAGUGCAGUGGUUAUUACAAAUUUUUUUUUCAAAAAGGUAAAUUGCAACUUUCUGAUAUCCACCACAUUUAGCCGGGUCAGGUUGCAAAAUGCAACUUCUCACCACAACUUUUUAUAAAUGUGUUUUUCCAAACAUCAUAAGUGUGGUGGAGUGCCAGCACCAUCACCUUACCGCUGCCCCAAAUGCUUUGUGACAUUUGCUUUGUUGUUGUGUAACCUUUUUAAAUAAGAAAAAAAAAAGUUUAUAAUAAUA
Phalaenopsis equestris is the source of this 696-nucleotide long non-coding RNA. RefSeq lists it as uncharacterized. The transcript has 4 exons. The record is from RefSeq and is a predicted model, not a curated record. Lineage: Eukaryota; Viridiplantae; Streptophyta; Magnoliopsida; Asparagales; Orchidaceae.